AGUGGAAGAGAUUCCUGUAUUGGCAAAUGAGGCAGGAGUGGAGGAAAUAUUACCAUGACGUGCAAGAGCUCUGGAGAUAAGAUCCUCAAUAUUAGCAAUAGUAAAGACAGUAGUAGAACUCUAAGAAUCAAAUUCAGAACUGACGGAAUCAAAAGUUUGUAAGGUAGGAGUUGGUGUAGCUGGCACAACCAGUGAUGCCAUGGAUCAGGAUGUAGAGCUAGAGCCAAAAAAUUUUCCUCUUUGUUUCUUCUUUGGACAAUAAGAUUUUGUGUGUCUAAGUUUAUGACAGUAGUUGCAUUUUACUUGUGCCCAGUCUACUGUCCCAUCUUUCUUACGUAGUA
Molecule: long non-coding RNA, 341 nt
Filed under: Elaeis guineensis (African oil palm)
Lineage: Eukaryota; Viridiplantae; Streptophyta; Magnoliopsida; Arecales; Arecaceae
Description: long non-coding RNA (EGUI_LNC007803)
Source: RNAcentral